AGAGUUUGAUCAUGGCUCAGGACGAACGCUGGCGGCGUGCUUAACACAUGCAAGUCGAACGGUGAACCCCUUCGGGGGGGAUCAGUGGCGAACGGGUGAGUAACACGUGAGCAACCUGCCCCCGACUCUGGGAUAACCCCGGGAAACCGGAGCUAAUACCGGAUACGACACGCUCGGGCAUCCGAUGCGUGUGGAAAGAUUCAUCGGUUGGGGAUGGGCUCGCGGCCUAUCAGCUUGUUGGUGGGGUAAUGGCCUACCAAGGCGACGACGGGUAGCCGGCCUGAGAGGGCGACCGGCCACACUGGGACUGAGACACGGCCCAGACUCCUACGGGAGGCAGCAGUGGGGAAUAUUGCGCAAUGGGCGAAAGCCUGACGCAGCGACGCCGCGUGAGGGAUGAAGGCCUUCGGGUUGUAAACCUCUUUCAGCAGGGAAGAAGCGAAAGUGACGGUACCUGCAGAAGAAGCACCGGCUAACUACGUGCCAGCAGCCGCGGUA
This 498-nucleotide ribosomal RNA is filed under the name uncultured Actinomycetes bacterium. RNAcentral describes it as "bacterial SSU rRNA". It matches the Rfam family "Bacterial small subunit ribosomal RNA", at positions 8 to 522 of the family's 1533-position model. Lineage: Bacteria; Bacillati; Actinomycetota; Actinomycetes. The record is from RNAcentral.